UACGGAGGGUGCAAGCGUUAUCCGGAUUCACUGGGUUUAAAGGGUGCGUAGGCGGGCAGGUAAGUCCGUGGUGAAAUCUCUGAGCUUAACUCAGAAACUGCCAUGGAUACUAUUUGUCUUGAAUGUUGUGGAGGUAAGCGGAAUAUGUCAUGUAGCGGUGAAAUGCUUAGAUAUGACAUAGAACACCAAUUGCGAAGGCAGCUUACUACACAAAUAUUGACGCUGAGGCACGAAAGCGUGGGGGAUCAAACAGG
This 254-nucleotide ribosomal RNA is filed under the name uncultured bacterium. RNAcentral describes it as "partial 16S ribosomal RNA". It matches the Rfam family "Bacterial small subunit ribosomal RNA", at positions 524 to 776 of the family's 1533-position model. The record is from RNAcentral.